Molecule: unclassified non-coding RNA, 253 nt
Filed under: uncultured Thermoanaerobacterales bacterium
Lineage: Bacteria; Bacillati; Bacillota; Clostridia; Thermoanaerobacterales
Description: contains 16S-23S intergenic spacer region
Rfam family: Bacterial small subunit ribosomal RNA
Source: RNAcentral
UACGUAGGGACCAAGCGUUAUCCGGAAUCACUGGGUGUAAAGGGUACGCAGGCGGACAUGUAGGUCUAAUGUGAAAGUCCCAGGCUUAACCUGGGAAUUGCAUUGGAAACCCCAUGUCUUGAGGGUCAGAGAGGCAGGCGCAAUUCGUGGUGUAGCGGUGAAAUGCGUAGAUAUCACGAGGAACAUCAGUGGUGUAGACGGCCUGCUGGAUGAACCCUGACGCUGAGGUACGAAAGCGUGGGGAGCGAACGGG